AUUGAACGCUGGCGGCAGGCCUAACACAUGCAAGUCGAACGGUAACAGGAAGAAGCUUGCUUCUUUGCUGACGAGUGGCGGACGGGUGAGUAAUGUCUGGGAAACUGCCUGAUGGAGGGGGAUAACUACUGGAAACGGUAGCUAAUACCGCAUAACGUCGCAAGACCAAAGAGGGGGACCUUCGGGCCUCUUGCCAUCGGAUGUGCCCAGAUGGGAUUAGCUAGUAGGUGGGGUAACGGCUCACCUAGGCGACGAUCCCUAGCUGGUCUGAGAGGAUGACCAGCCACACUGGAACUGAGACACGGUCCAGACUCCUACGGGAGGCAGCAGUGGGGAAUAUUGCACAAUGGGCGCAAGCCUGAUGCAGCCAUGCCGCGUGUAUGAAGAAGGCCUUCGGGUUGUAAAGUACUGUCAGCGGGGAGGAAGGGAGUAAAGUUAAUACCUUUGCUCAUUGACGUUACCCGCAGAAGAAGCACCGGCUAACUCCGUG
This 490-nucleotide ribosomal RNA is filed under the name uncultured bacterium. RNAcentral describes it as "partial 16S ribosomal RNA". It matches the Rfam family "Bacterial small subunit ribosomal RNA", at positions 30 to 507 of the family's 1533-position model. The record is from RNAcentral.